This 274-nucleotide ribosomal RNA is filed under the name uncultured bacterium. Its description in RNAcentral is "partial 16S ribosomal RNA". It matches the Rfam family "Bacterial small subunit ribosomal RNA", at positions 523 to 796 of the family's 1533-position model. The record is from RNAcentral.
AUACGGAGGGGGUUAGCGUUGUUCGGAAUUACUGGGCGUAAAGCGCACGUAGGCGGACUGGAAAGUUGGGGGUGAAAUCCCGGGGCUCAACCCCGGAACUGCCUCCAAAACUUCCAAUCUAGAGAUCGAGAGAGGUGAGUGGAAUUCCAAGUGUAGAGGUGAAAUUCGUAGAUAUUUGGAAGAACACCAGUGGCGAAGGCGGCUCACUGGCUCGAUACUGACGCUGAGGUGCGAAAGCGUGGGGAGCAAACAGGAUUAGAAACCCUAGUAGUCC